CAAAGGCGUACAGUACUUCCAACCGGCUGCUAACUGGGUGGGAAUUUGCAAUCUUUGUUUCCCCCUCCUCCAACCUCCCUAGCUGCAGGCAGAUGUGAUUUUGAACUCUCUCUCUCCCCCUCUUUCUUUACUUUCCCCUCCUCUCUCCUGUACAGAGAGGGAUUUCUUUUUCUACUUCUCUCCCUCGAUUCCAAGACUCAAGAAGUCUUUUUCUACCUUGGGAGGAGCCAAGCCAAGAUGUUCAAGUUUGAUUCCUGUUCAGUAGAAGCCUUGGAAAUACAGGGAAGCACCUUCAAGCAGAACAGACUGAUGUAUGAACAAAUCAACAGGAUGGCUUCACCAGCUUGGGAAGCAAUAAACACUGAGGGAGAAUUAAGAUGCCAGGAAUCCAGGUAAUAGCAUUUUUAGUUACCAGAAAUACAUGCUCAAAUGAGGAAGGCAUGAGCCCUGCUGAGAACAUUGGAAAACUUGAAGCAUUACAUAAAUGAGUAGUUGUUAUUAUAUAUCUGCAAAGAUCCCAA
RNAcentral lists this long non-coding RNA (521 nucleotides) under Vombatus ursinus (common wombat). RNAcentral's name for it is "lncRNA (ENSVURG00010018309.1)". The record is from RNAcentral. Lineage: Eukaryota; Metazoa; Chordata; Mammalia; Diprotodontia; Vombatidae.